AACAGACCCAUUGUCCCCGUAAACUCCCUUCUUGGUGGGCUCAGGAAUUUCCAAAGGUCUUUGGUUGAGAAUCUAAGGACAAAUUCUACCGUAAUUCUGCAGCUUCUCGAUGAGGAAAUUGAGAAAGGAUACUCUCAGAGGAGGGAGCAACGGUGGCCAUGACGGAAUAAAAUAAUAGUUAACAAAUUAUGCAUCUAUUAAGCAUACUAUUACAACUGUAUCUGUAAAUUCAUAAUAUAUCCC
This 243-nucleotide unclassified non-coding RNA is filed under the name Hevea brasiliensis (rubber tree). The record is from RNAcentral. Lineage: Eukaryota; Viridiplantae; Streptophyta; Magnoliopsida; Malpighiales; Euphorbiaceae.